RNAcentral lists this ribosomal RNA (468 nucleotides) under uncultured bacterium. RNAcentral's name for it is "partial 16S ribosomal RNA". It matches the Rfam family "Bacterial small subunit ribosomal RNA", at positions 28 to 507 of the family's 1533-position model. The record is from RNAcentral.
GACGAACGCUGGCGGCGUGCUUAGCACAUGCAAGUCGAACGGAAAGGCCCUGCUUUUGUGGGGUGCUCGAGUGGCGAACGGGUGAGUAACACGUGAGUAACCUGCCCUUGACUUUGGGAUAACUUCAGGAAACUGGGGCUAAUACCGGAUAGGAGCUCCUGCUGCAUGGUGGGGGUUGGAAAGUUUCGGCGGUUGGGGUUGGACUCGCGGCUUAUCAGCUUGUUGGUGGGGUAGUGGCUUACCAAGGCUUUGACGGGUAGCCGGCCUGAGAGGGUGACCGGCCACAUUGGGCCUGAGAUACGGCCCAGACUCCUACGGGAGGCAGCAGUGGGGAAUAUUGCACAAUGGGCGGAAGCCUGAUGCAGCAAAGCCGCGUGCGGGAUGACGGCCUUCGGGUUGUAAACCGCUUUCGCCUGUGACGAAGCGUGAGUGACGGUAAUGGGUAAAGAAGCACCGGCUAACUACGUG